RNAcentral lists this ribosomal RNA (589 nucleotides) under Coniothyrium sp. NRRL 66000. RNAcentral describes it as "eukaryotic LSU rRNA". It matches the Rfam family "Eukaryotic large subunit ribosomal RNA", at positions 1 to 591 of the family's 3401-position model. Lineage: Eukaryota; Fungi; Ascomycota; Dothideomycetes; Pleosporales; Coniothyriaceae. The record is from RNAcentral.
UUGACCUCGGAUCAGGUAGGGAUACCCGCUGAACUUAAGCAUAUCAAUAAGCGGAGGAAAAGAAACCAACAGGGAUUGCCCUAGUAACGGCGAGUGAAGCGGCAACAGCUCAAAUUUGAAAUCUGGCCCUCCUUGGGGGUCCGAGUUGUAAUUUGCAGAGGGUGCUUUGGCAUCGGCGGCGGUCUAAGUUCCUUGGAACAGGACAUCGCAGAGGGUGAGAAUCCCGUACGUGGGCGCCUGCCUUUGCCGUGUAAAGCCCCUUCGACGAGUCGAGUUGUUUGGGAAUGCAGCUCUAAAUGGGAGGUAAAUUUCUUCUAAAGCUAAAUACCGGCCAGAGACCGAUAGCGCACAAGUAGAGUGAUCGAAAGAUGAAAAGUACUUUGGAAAGAGAGUCAAAUAGCACGUGAAAUUGUUGAAAGGGAAGCGCUUGCAGCCAGACGUGCCCGCAGUUGCUCACCCAGGCUCCGGCCUGGGGCACUCUUCUGCGGGCAGGCCAGCAUCAGUUUGGGCGGUUGGAUAAAGGCCUCUGUCACGUAUCUCCCUUCGGGGUGACCUUAUAGGGGAGGCGCAAUGCAACCAGCCCGGACUG